This 77-nucleotide transfer RNA is filed under the name Ferruginibacter sp. Its description in RNAcentral is "tRNA-Met". It matches the Rfam family "tRNA". Rfam says of the family: Transfer RNA (tRNA) molecules are approximately 80 nucleotides in length. Their secondary structure includes four short double-helical elements and three loops (D, anti-codon, and T loops). Further hydrogen bonds mediate the characteristic L-shaped molecular structure. tRNAs have two regions of fundamental functional importance: the anti-codon, which is responsible for specific mRNA codon recognition, and the 3' end, to which the tRNAs corresponding amino acid is attached (by aminoacyl-tRNA synthetases). tRNAs cope with the degeneracy of the genetic code in two manners: having more than one tRNA (with a specific anti-codon) for a particular amino acid; and 'wobble' base-pairing, i.e. permitting non-standard base-pairing at the 3rd anti-codon position. Lineage: Bacteria; Pseudomonadati; Bacteroidota; Chitinophagia; Chitinophagales; Chitinophagaceae. The record is from RNAcentral.
GGGCCUAUAGCUCAGCUGGUUAGAGCACCUGACUCAUAAUCAGGGGGUCCCUGGUUCGAGCCCAGGUGGGUCCACAA